RNAcentral lists this transfer RNA (69 nucleotides) under Pseudogobius fulvicaudus. RNAcentral's name for it is "tRNA-His". It matches the Rfam family "tRNA". From Rfam's summary of the family: Transfer RNA (tRNA) molecules are approximately 80 nucleotides in length. Their secondary structure includes four short double-helical elements and three loops (D, anti-codon, and T loops). Lineage: Eukaryota; Metazoa; Chordata; Actinopteri; Gobiiformes; Gobiidae. The record is from RNAcentral.
GUAGGCAUAGUUUAACAAAAAUGCUAGAUUGUGAUUCUAGAGCUAGAGGUUAAAUCCCUCUUGCCCACC